AAUGAACGCUGGCGGCGCGCCUAAUACAUGCAAGUCGAGCGAGAAGACGUAGCAAUACGUUUGUAAAGCGGCGAACGGGUGAGGAAUACAUGGGUAACCUACCCUCGAGUGGGGAAUAACUAGCCGAAAGGUUAGCUAAUACCGCGUACGCUUCUUGGACUUCGGUUCAGGGAGGAAAGCGAUGCCGAGGGUAUCGCGCUCUUGGAUGGGCUCAUGUCCUAUCAGCUUGNGGUGAGGUAACGGCUCACCAAGGCUUCGACGGGUAGCUGGUCCGAGAGGACGAUCAGCCACACUGGCACUGCGACACGGGCCAGACUCCUACGGGAGGCAGCAGUAAGGAAUAUUGCGCAAUGGGCGAAAGCCUGACGCAGCGACGCCGCGUGGGGGGAUGAAGGUCUUCGGAUUGUAAACCCCUUUCGGGA
RNAcentral lists this ribosomal RNA (422 nucleotides) under uncultured bacterium. RNAcentral describes it as "bacterial SSU rRNA". It matches the Rfam family "Bacterial small subunit ribosomal RNA", at positions 29 to 441 of the family's 1533-position model. The record is from RNAcentral.